UGCCUCAGUCUCCAGAGUAGCUGGAACAAGAGAAAAAGAAACUCUAAGAGAAAAAUAAAAAUUUGCCCAAGGUUACAACAGCUAACAAAUGGAAGAACUGGACUGUCAAUCCAAGAUCCGUCUACCUCCAAAGCUCAGCUUCAGGAAGAGAUGAGCUAUAGAGACAGUGGAAAGAAAUGCUCUCCCUGAGAAAGAAGAUCGUCCACUAGCAGUGGCAAAUUUCUCAUCUUCUGCAGAAGGCUUAGCAUAGAAAGUGAGCUACGGAAAUAAAAUGCCUGUUCUGAGGAAUAACAGAAUGAACUGAACAUAUAAAGCAAGUUAUGUGGACAGGCCAGACGUCAGGUUGUCAUCUGAGAAUGAAGUUAAUAGUGAGACUUGCAUGCAGGACUCCAUU
This is a non-coding RNA of Microcebus murinus (gray mouse lemur), 394 nucleotides long. NCBI's taxonomy places the organism in Eukaryota, Metazoa, Chordata, Mammalia, Primates, Cheirogaleidae. The record is from RefSeq and is a predicted model, not a curated record.